Transfer RNA from Candida maltosa Xu316, 53 nucleotides. It matches the Rfam family "tRNA", at positions 20 to 71 of the family's 71-position model. Rfam says of the family: Transfer RNA (tRNA) molecules are approximately 80 nucleotides in length. Their secondary structure includes four short double-helical elements and three loops (D, anti-codon, and T loops). The record is from Rfam. Lineage: Eukaryota; Fungi; Ascomycota; Pichiomycetes; Serinales; Debaryomycetaceae.
AAGGCACCUCACUAGUAAUGAGGAGAUCAUAGGUUCGAAUCCUGUUGAGAGCA